AAGUCGUAACAAGGUCUCCGUUGGUGAACCAGCGGAGGGAUCAUUACUGAGUUAUCUAACUCCAAACCCAUGUGAACAUACCUAUGUUGCCUCGGCGAGAAAAGCCUACCCGGGACCUACCCGGGAGGGCCUGCCUCGCCGGUGGAUUAUCAAACUCUUGUUUUUAUGUGGCACUUCUGAGUACACUUUAAAAUAAGUCAAAACUUUCAACAACGGAUCUCUUGGUUCUGGCAUCGAUGAAGAACGCAGCGAAAUGCGAUAAGUAAUGUGAAUUGCAGAAUUCAGUGAAUCAUCGAAUCUUUGAACGCACAUUGCGCCCAUUAGUAUUCUAGUGGGCAUGCCUGUUCGAGCGUCAUUACAACCCUUAAGCCCUAGUUGCUUAGCGUUGGGAGCUUUACGCCUCUGGUGGAAACUCCUUAAAGUUAUUGGCAGAGUUACGACAUACUCUAAGCGUAGUAAUUAUUUCUCGCUUUUGAAAGUGUUGUAACGAUCGCCAUAAACCUCUAUAUUUCUAGUGGUUGACCUCGGAUCAGGUAGGAAUACCCGCUGAACUUAA
Molecule: ribosomal RNA, 556 nt
Filed under: uncultured fungus
Lineage: Eukaryota; Fungi
Description: eukaryotic LSU rRNA
Rfam family: 5.8S ribosomal RNA (bases 202-355)
Source: RNAcentral